GGGAAGUUUUUUAGCCUCCUUAACCCAUAUAUCUAAAUUACCAUGCACAAGGCAAAUUUUCGAAGACCCUUUAUUGGUCUGGAAUGGCACUUCUUCUUGACCCUGCAUAUGACGUGAGCCACCUAACGAGAAUGAAUGAUCAAUAGUAUUUUGAGCCAUAAUAGAUAAGAUUUCUCGCUCAGAACGAGCAGAUAUCCAAUAACAAGUGAUGGAAAUUGUUUAAACUGGGCGAAUGGAUCUCCAAAUCAAAAUUUGACAAAUACCCAGUUCAUAUGAAGGUAAAAUCAAGUAGUUGGCAGUCACCAAACGAAUACUGAAUGUGGGCAACUCUAGAUAGGCAAGAAAUGAGUGAGAAAAAAAAAAAAGAAAAAAAAAAAAAAA
This 381-nucleotide unclassified non-coding RNA is filed under the name Hevea brasiliensis (rubber tree). The record is from RNAcentral. Lineage: Eukaryota; Viridiplantae; Streptophyta; Magnoliopsida; Malpighiales; Euphorbiaceae.